UAAGAAUACUGUUGAUAAAUAAUAAUUCUUGUUUUUAAAAUGACACAUAUUUACCGUUUAAAAUAUCGAUGUUAUCUAAACAAUGACCUUAUUUACCUUAUUGGUUCUCCUUUGCAGUUAUAAGAAUACACUAUAAACUAGAAAAUAUAUGUAUGCUAAUGUGUGAAGGUUUGCGACUGUUAAAACAUUUAAACCCGCUGCAUUUUUUGCACCUGUCCGACGCCUAUUAGUCAGCAGUUGUCUUUUGUUGGAGUGGUUCAUAUUUGUUUCUCGUUUCUCGUAUUUUAUAUAACCUUUUUUUUUCCUGAUUCAACUGAUUUUCACUUGUCAUUUUAGUGCUUUUUUGCUUGCUGUUCGGUUGACCUCAGUUAUCCGCUUAGUAUUUAUACUUUGUAACUGGGAUGAAGAGUUGUCGCAUUGGUACUCAUAACACAUUUUCAUAUUCAUAUUGAACAUUGGGACGGGAUGAUUGAACUACGUUUGAUGUCAUUUGAGGUUACCUUGAAACUAGGAAGAGCCGUGGCGUAGUAGGAACCGAUACGGGCUACUAACACAUAGGUUACUGGUUCGAUCCUAGAGCUCGUUCCUGGGGAAAAAUGAGUGACUUUUCGUCUAUUCCUUGUCACCAUUUGUUGGUAUGGUCUUGGGAAACGAUCAUAGUCUGUCGGGAGGGGACGACACAUGGUUGACCCGUGUUCAGAGAGAGCACGUAAAAGGCGCUUAUAAAGAUUUCGAAAAAGAGAAGGAUAAUGCCGGUACAAGGCAGCACUUGCACCCGCAAAGUGGAAAGGGAUUUGUAUAAGUUGCAAUAACUUGUUUCCAAAUUCAUUAGUAAUAAAAAUGUUUAAACUGAGGUUCUAAUGUUUCUUCACAAUAAUUGUCUCGUCUAAUGUGCACGCAAUAAAAAUGUUUAAAAAUAAAG
RNAcentral lists this long non-coding RNA (922 nucleotides) under Mytilus galloprovincialis (Mediterranean mussel). The record is from RNAcentral. Lineage: Eukaryota; Metazoa; Mollusca; Bivalvia; Mytilida; Mytilidae.